This 72-nucleotide transfer RNA is filed under the name Camelus bactrianus (Bactrian camel). It matches the Rfam family "tRNA". From Rfam's summary of the family: Transfer RNA (tRNA) molecules are approximately 80 nucleotides in length. Their secondary structure includes four short double-helical elements and three loops (D, anti-codon, and T loops). RNAcentral also lists the same sequence under 2 other names. Lineage: Eukaryota; Metazoa; Chordata; Mammalia; Artiodactyla; Camelidae. The record is from Rfam by way of RNAcentral.
GAGGGUAUAGCUCAAUGGUGGAGUUCUUGCCUAGCAUGCACGAGGUCCUGGGUUCAAUCCCUGGUACCUCCA